CCCUUCGGGAUGUACGUACUUUUUGAACGGCCCCUAAUUGAAUAUUUUAAAAAAUAUUAAAAAUGAAUUAACAAUCUCCAAAUGCUAACAUUUUGUUUAUGUAUAUUGUAGACAUCAACAAUAGAGCUGAAAACAAUGCAAUUAGGAUCAAGAAAACUUCAAGCGGUUUUGGAAACAUUUCAACAUUUUAUUGUUCUUUUUGCAAUUAUUCAAGCUAUGUUCUAUCCAAUGUAAAACAACACCUUCGUAAACAUACCGGAGAGAGGCCCUUUGUUUGCAAAUUUUGCUGUAAAAGUUUUACUCAAAAACAUAAUCUCAAAGUCCAUGAAGCUAAACAUAGGCUUUAAAAGAUUUUAAUAAUGACUAACAAGGAAGCUAGACAUAUGUUUAUAAAAAGGCAUGAAUCUGUGAGUGAAUUUGGAAGUCUUGUAACAUACUCUUGCCCAGUUUGUGAUUAUACUAGUUAUAAACUACAUAAUGUCAAACAGCAUGCGCGUCAGCAUACUGGAGCACGACCUUUUGUUUGUAGAUUUUGUCAUAAGGCGUUCACUCGAAAUCAAAAUCUUAAGUUUCACGAAACAACUAAACAUUGAAUUAUUUAAAUUCUUUACUUCUUCAUUUGUUAUAACCUCAAGAAGUAUUAACUGUAAUUUGUUUAUACUGUGGUAAUAGUAUAAUUGAACUCAUGACUCAGACGAUAUCUGGAAUAAUCAAGAAAAAUUUUCAGAUUUGUUUCUCAAUAAAGCUCAAAAAAAUGCCCUGCCGUUUAUUGAACAAAGUUUCAUUGCUCUUCUCACUGUACGAGUGCAUUAUGUGUCUUCAUUGUUUAACUUUCCUGCUUUUUGUGACACACGACAUUAACUCUGUUCAUUAUUUUUAAUUCAUUUGUUAUUAACUAACCAUUAACACCUUUCACUCGAAAUCAAAAUCUUAAGUUUCACGAAACAACUAAACAUUGAAUUAUUCCAUUUCUUACUUCUUCAUUUGUUUUAACCUCAAGAAGUAUUAAUUGUAAAUUGUUUAUACUGUGGAAAUAGUAUAAUUGAACUCCUGACUCGGACGAUAUCUGGAACAAUCAAGGAAAAUUUUCAGAUUUGUUUCUCAAUAAAGCUCAGAAAAAUGCCCUGCUAGUUAUUGAACGAAGUUUCAUUGCUCUUCUCACUAUAUGAGUGCAUUAUGUGUCAUCAUUGUUUAACUUUCUUGCUUUUUGUGACACACACCAUUAACUUUCACUCUUUGUGCAUUUUGUAAUAGUUUUGUGCUAAUUAACCACACAUUUACGGAGGAAAAAUUUGUAUAAACUCACCAUACUUACAGGUAACAUCUUAUCUAUAAGCAUCGUUUUUUUAAGAAUCUUUUUCACCUACAAAAAAAAUUGUCCAUCAGAUGUUAAUAGUGCAUCUUACGAAUACAAAAGCAACUGAAUCACAUUUCAAGAAUAAUGUGAUUUACUGUAAGGUGCAUUUAAUCUGUGCCCAUUUGUUUAAAUGUGAAAUGAGGUACAACACAUGUGCACACUUUAUAAAAGUUUUGAUAAACUUUGUAUAUUGCAUGAAAUAUUUUCUUUCUAAAACAGUUUAUUAGCAAUUAUAAAAAUACAUCUUAAUGUAUCAAUGAGACAUUGCUUUCUUCACUGUAAAAAAAAAGGUAUCUUGUUUGCAUAAAAUUUUUUAUUUGAAUUGUGCAUACCUCUAGUUCAUACUGUUUUAUCUUCAUUUCUUUACUUAAUUUGUUCAUCUUUGUGUCUAAAUUAAAAUGGUUCUGUACUGUUUCAUCAAAUCUUAGAGAGUUAUGCCUUUCUCUCAUAUUUUUUUUCUCCAUAUAACUUGAGGGUAGACUACUUUCAUACAUCACACACAGAGAGAAACAUCCAUGCCUUGAGCAGGAUUCGAACCCGCAGCCAUUGACUUCACAGUCGCCCACCUGGUCAGCAUAGCUUUUAACUUCAUAAAGCUAAAUAUUGAAUUAUAUAAUAAUAAAUGCAACUGAUGCCUAUUGUACCUUUGUUUUUUUUUGUCCUUCAAAAAGUGAUUAGUAUAAUAUUUUUGUGACUAGUAUAAUAUCUGUUUUAAUAGGGAAUCAUUCUGUUAAACUUUUAAGAAAUAAUAUAUUUCCACUCUUACGUCCUUUUCUUAAAAAUUCAUUUCAAUAUAUUUUGCGAUUAAGGAAGCUGUUAUAACAUAUAAUUUUUGAACUUCACUGCAAGUGGUUUGAAUUCUUUCAGAUUCAGGGAUAAUGUUUUGUAUAGAUAUAAAGAAAUAUUAGUAUAUAUAUUAUAAAAAAAUAUUUGUUUUAUUAUGAUGUGCUUUUUUUUUUACAUGAAGAUUAGUUUUUUAGGGUAAUCGUAUGAAUUUAUAUCUUAAUCAAUGUUUUUGUUUUGUAAAAUUGACUUAAAUUUCCGCUAGAGUAUAAUUUAAACCCUUUUUCUUUAAAAAUGUAAUUUUUUUUUAAAGCAUGAAUUGAUUAAAAUUAAUUCUUUAAAAAAACAUUAUUAAAUAUUUGUGUUUACAAAACAUUAUAUUACUUAUUAGAAAUUUAUAUAUAAUGUAAAGCUCACAUUUCCAUAUAUGUUCCUUUCAUCUUGUAGAGACUGAUUUGGGAGCUGUGAAUAUAACAAUUAAAAGACAGGAAUCCUGAAGUGAUUUUGGAAAUAUUGUGAUGUAUUCUUGCCCUUUUUGUAAUUAUUCAAGUUACAAGCUAUUUAAUGUUAAACAACAUGUACGCAAGCAUACUGGAGAACGACCUUUUGUUUGUAGAUUUUGUCACAAAGGUUUCACUCAAAAUCAUAGCCUUAAGCUUCAUGAAGUUAAGCAUGAAUACAAAAUGAUAUGCAAUUGAUGUUUAUGAUAAAUGAUUCUAUGCAUUUGUUUAUCUUUUUUAUAAAAAUAAUAUUUGGGAAUCUAAUAAAAACAUAUAAUACCCAUUAUUUUUAAUUUUUAAAAAUAAUUCAACCAAUUAUUUAAGUUUUCUCAAGAAAAAAAAAUUCUAUUUUGGAUUAUUAAAUAAUAUUUUAUGCUUUUUAUAGUGGUUGUUUGCUUUUUUACACUUUUGUUAUUUUCUCAUAAAUUACUUAAUAUGAUUUUUGAAAUUUAAUUCAAGUAAUUUGCAUUAUUUUACCCUUCAGGAAAUAAUUAUUCUAUUACAUAUUAAUGGAAUUUUCCUGUAUUUUAUUGUAUGUGUUCGUAGUUUAAAACUUGUGUCAUUUCCUUGGAAAUUAUUUUAUAAGAUUAUGCCAUAGUAUUAUGCAUUUUCAAUUUUUAAAACUCAAUUUAAGGCAGUUGUAUAAUUUAAGUUUAUUAAAAGAAAAGCAUCCUGUUUAAAUAUUAAGAAGUGUUGCAUGUCUGGGUUCGAAUCUCUCCCAAGUCAUAGAUGUUCUUUCAUUCUCUGUUGUGGAAGCAACUUUAGCCCACCUAAUAUGGUGCCCUUGGAAAUCUGCCCUGUAAAUGCCUGAAUUGACGAAAUGUUAACACAGGUGGGCAUUAGAAAUAAAAUAAAAAACUGUUUUUUGUUUUGAUAUGAAGAAAUAUUUUCUAUGUUUUAUUGGGAUUAUUUGUAUUUUCACAUUUUUUGUUGUUUACCCCGGAAAAUUUAGCAUUAAAUUGAAUUGUUUUAGCAUAAUAAUAGAAUUUACAACUUUCUAGAAUGAAGUAAUAUUUCUGGUUAAUUAUUUUUUUUUGUUGGUAAUCCAUUAUUUUCAAACACUCCAUAUCAGUCUAACAUUUCGUUUUUGUUACAUUCUUUACAUCAGGUUUUGAAGUGUGUUUAAAAUGUUAAUGGGAGCAAAUGUAGUCAACAUUAUACUUGAAAUAGUUAUGGAUGUUGUACUUAGCAUUUGUAAUUCAAGUUCUUUUAAUUGAUAAGCGAUUUUGUCUUCGUUCAAUUCUAAAUAAUUUUAAACCUUUAUUAUGAUUCUGUGAAAUAAACUGCAGAUUUGUAAAAUAUUUAUUUGAAUAUAUCUUAUUGUGGCCUUAAAACCAAUGCCUUUUGUAAAACUGAUUGCUGAUUAUAUAUUGUGAAUGACAAAUAUGUCAUUGUUUCCUGUGCACUUCGUAAAUAGAAAAUAAAAAAUUCAUAAUUU
This is a long non-coding RNA of Parasteatoda tepidariorum (common house spider), 4078 nucleotides long. NCBI's taxonomy places the organism in Eukaryota, Metazoa, Arthropoda, Arachnida, Araneae, Theridiidae. The record is from RefSeq and is a predicted model, not a curated record.